GUAUCCAGGAGCUCUAGUAUUGGGUGCAUGUUGUUGAGGUUUGCUCAAUUCUGGAUAAUCGUCCUUUGACUCGUUAUUGGUAACAAAUUCAGCUCCAGGAAAUUUUUCUUUCGGCUUCGGCGGCGGAUCUUUUUCAUGCGGUGGAAAUAUUUCGGAAUAACCAUGAACGUGACAACUACAACAAAUGCUGCUCUAGCCAAUUGUGGACGUGCAUAUUUAACCGUAGAUGGGCAUGUGAAUCCUUCUUCGACGUUAUCGAAUGAAUUGUCCGAUCUAAAGAAAGAAAUUUAUUAUUCGACGUUCACAUUUAUCGCAUUUACGAAACUGUAUAAUCGAUCGUAUAUGUAUGUCUAGUGUGUUUUCUUUCGAUCGAUGGAUUGCAUUUGAAAAUGGUGAAAGUUAAUUGAACGACGUGAAAUAUACACUGA
This is a long non-coding RNA of Vespula vulgaris, 428 nucleotides long. RefSeq lists it as uncharacterized. The transcript has 3 exons. Lineage: Eukaryota; Metazoa; Arthropoda; Insecta; Hymenoptera; Vespidae. The record is from RefSeq and is a predicted model, not a curated record.